RNAcentral lists this ribosomal RNA (327 nucleotides) under uncultured fungus. RNAcentral describes it as "partial small subunit ribosomal RNA". It matches the Rfam family "Eukaryotic small subunit ribosomal RNA", at positions 30 to 365 of the family's 1831-position model. The record is from RNAcentral. Lineage: Eukaryota; Fungi.
GCUUGUCUCAAAGAUUAAGCCAUGCAUGUCUAAGUAUAAACAACUUUAUACUGUGAAACUGCGAACGGCUCAUUAUAUCAGCAAUAAUUUAUUUGAUGGUUUCUUACUACAUGGAUAACUGUAGUAAUUCUAGAGCUAAUACAUGCGUAAAGUCCCGACUCUUGCGGGGAGGGAUGUAUUUAUUAGAUGGAAACCAAUGCGGGGUAACCCGGAAUAUGGUGAUUCAUAAUAACUUUCGGAUCGAUUUAUCGAUGCAUCAUUCAAGUUUCUGCCCUAUCAGCUUUGGAUGGUAGGGUAUUGGCCUACCAUGGCUUUAACGGGUAACGG